This 72-nucleotide non-coding RNA is filed under the name unclassified sequences. The record is from RNAcentral.
GGGUUGUGGUGUGCGGUAGCAGUAAUGCCCGCAAGGACGCGCUUGUGAGUCCUGGACAACACCACAGCCCUU